UACGGGGGGGGCAAGCGUUGUUCGGAAUUACUGGGCGUAAAGGGCUCGUAGGUGGCCAACUAAGUCAUACGUGAAAUCCCUCGGCUUAACCGGGGAACUGCGUCUGAUACUGGAUGGCUUGAGGUUGGGAGAGGGAUGCGGAAUUCCUGGUGUAGCGGUGAAAUGCGCAGAUAUCAGGAGGAACACCGGUGGCGAAGGCGGGACUCUGGGCCGAUACAGACGCUGAGGAGCGAAAGCGUGGGGAGCAAACAGG
This 253-nucleotide ribosomal RNA is filed under the name uncultured bacterium. Its description in RNAcentral is "partial 16S ribosomal RNA". It matches the Rfam family "Bacterial small subunit ribosomal RNA", at positions 524 to 776 of the family's 1533-position model. The record is from RNAcentral.